Cordylochernes scorpioides is the source of this 73-nucleotide non-coding RNA. NCBI's taxonomy places the organism in Eukaryota, Metazoa, Arthropoda, Arachnida, Pseudoscorpiones, Chernetidae. The record is from the annotation of a GenBank genome assembly.
GCCCAGGGGCGGGAAUCGAACCCACAACCUUCUGCUUACCGAGCAGGUGCCAUGUCCACUAGGCUACCCUGGA